AGCGAACGCUGGCGGCAUGCCUAACACAUGCAAGUCGCACGGGGGGGCUUCGGCCUCCCAGUGGCGGACGGGUGAGGAACGCGUAGGGACCUGUCGAGGGGUGGGGGAUAACCGCGGGAAACUGCGGCUAAUACCGCAUGACGCCGCGGCGUGACAGCCGGGGCCAAAGGCGAAAGCCGCCCGCCGAGGGGCCUGCGUCCGAUUAGCUGGUUGGCGGGGUAGCGGCCCACCAAGGCGUCGAUCGGUAGCUGGUCUGAGAGGGUGGUCAGCCACACCGGGACUGAGACACGGCCCGGACUCCUACGGGAGGCAGCAGUGGGGAAUAUUGGACAAUGGGCGCAAGCCUGAUCCAGCAAUGCCGCGUGGGUGAAGAAGGUCUUCGGAUUGUAAAGCCCUUUCGGCGGGGACGAUAGUGACGGUACCCGCAGAAGAAGCCCCGGCUAACUUCGUG
Molecule: ribosomal RNA, 451 nt
Filed under: uncultured bacterium
Lineage: Bacteria
Description: partial 16S ribosomal RNA
Rfam family: Bacterial small subunit ribosomal RNA
Source: RNAcentral